RNAcentral lists this ribosomal RNA (301 nucleotides) under uncultured bacterium. RNAcentral's name for it is "partial 16S ribosomal RNA". It matches the Rfam family "Bacterial small subunit ribosomal RNA", at positions 509 to 807 of the family's 1533-position model. The record is from RNAcentral.
CAGCCGCCGCGGUAAAACGUAGGUGGCAAGCGUUGUCCGGAAUUAUUGGGCGUAAAGGGCUCGCAGGCGGUUUCUUAAGUCUGAUGUGAAAGCCCCCGGCUCAACCGGGGAGGGUCAUUGGAAACUGGGAAACUUGAGUGCAGAAGAGGAGAGUGGAAUUCCACGUGUAGCGGUGAAAUGCGUAGAGAUGUGGAGGAACACCAAUGGCGAAAGCGACUCUCUGGUCUGUAACUGGCGCUGAGGAGCGAAAGCGUGGGGAGCGAACAGGAUUAGAUACCCCUGUAGUCCCUGUCUCUUAUAC